RNAcentral lists this long non-coding RNA (560 nucleotides) under Olea europaea (common olive). Its description in RNAcentral is "long non-coding RNA (OEUR_LNC011731)". The record is from RNAcentral. Lineage: Eukaryota; Viridiplantae; Streptophyta; Magnoliopsida; Lamiales; Oleaceae.
UAGAAACCACCAAAACCGUCACCACCAAUCACACAACAACCCAACCCACAACCUCACCAACAUAACCACGUCUCCUAACACAACCACCACCAGAAACUCUAAACAAUAUACCAUCGGCACCUCCCAACUUCAACACCACCACCCAAAUCAUGACACUGCCAACACCACUGUAUUCACGAUACCACCACAAACUAGAUUCGAAGCCACCAACCCACCACACCAUGUCUGAACCACUGCAAAUUGAUCAACACACCACUGCACACGAGCGUGCCACCACCACGACGCCACCAUCACCGCAUCCUCACCCACCAUCACUGCAACCAGCCACACCACUAUCUCACAGCACCGAUCUGAGACUGAAUGUCGCUACAGCAACUAAGAUCUAAGCGCGAGUACAGUUCGCAGCAGUGGCACUCAUAUCCAAGCAUCGCCACAGCGUAUCGUCCGGUAAAUAUGGUAGAUUGACCGGCGAUUGAUGGAACCGACGACAAAUGAUACAUGGCGGCGAUGAAGAUGAAUCGAAAUGGGUGGAGAGAAAAUAAAUGGGUACAGGGAAAGAG